UCGCGGAGCUCCGCGCCGAGUAGAGCGA
Molecule: small RNA, 28 nt
Filed under: Bombyx mori (domestic silkworm)
Lineage: Eukaryota; Metazoa; Arthropoda; Insecta; Lepidoptera; Bombycidae
Description: ovarian small RNA-28781
Source: RNAcentral